This 254-nucleotide ribosomal RNA is filed under the name uncultured bacterium. RNAcentral's name for it is "partial 16S ribosomal RNA". It matches the Rfam family "Bacterial small subunit ribosomal RNA", at positions 524 to 776 of the family's 1533-position model. The record is from RNAcentral.
CACGUAGGCACCAAGCGUUGUCCGGAUUUAUUGGGCGUAAAGAGCUCGUAGGCGGUUCAGUAAGUCGGGUGUGAAAACUCUGGGCUUAACCCAGAGCCGCCACUCGAUACUGCUGUGACUUGAGUUCGGUAGGGGAGCAGGGAAUUCCUAGUGUAGCGGUGAAAUGCGCAGAUAUCAGGAGGAACACCGGUGGCGAAGGCGGGACUCUGGGCCGAUACUGACGCUGAGGCACGAAAGCGUGGGGAGCAAACAGG